Dama dama (fallow deer) is the source of this 3541-nucleotide long non-coding RNA. RefSeq lists it as uncharacterized. The record is from RefSeq and is a predicted model, not a curated record. Lineage: Eukaryota; Metazoa; Chordata; Mammalia; Artiodactyla; Cervidae. The transcript has 3 exons.
CAGCACACAAAAUGAUGGAUUGCUGGAGAAGCUUCCUCUUCCCACACUAUGCUUCAGCCAUCCCUGUGUGUACCUCAAAGAGUGUCUCUCCCUACACUCCUGCAUGGUAGACAGAGGCUGUUUUUAACCUGAAGGCAGGGGCUUGGAAGGUUCACCGCUGUCCUGGUCCAGCCUCAGUCUUAGGCCAGAAUAUUGGAGUGGGUAGCCAUUCCCUUCUCCAAGGGAUCUUCCCAACCCAGGGAUUGAACCCAGGUCUCCUGCAUUACAGGUAGAUUUACCAGCUGAGCCACAAGGGAAUCCCCAGCAAUAUGAGAGGCUCAGCUAAAUCUAUUCACAAGGGGACACCAACACAGCGGUCAGACGAAGACCUACUUUCUAGAAGUUCUGAAAGCCCAUCUCAUUACCUAUUUUGGGACUCAAGAGUAUAAAGCAAUAGUCCUCAGUGUGUCUGUUUUGGAAAGACCAUUCCUGUCUUUCCAAUAAUAACAAUGAUAUUUCAUUCUCUAUCUUUCUGACUCUUUUGCCUAUUUACAUAAAUUUAUUCAAAACUCAAAAAAAGGAAAAGAAGAGUACUAUUUAAUGUCCCCCCUAAAAUGUUAUCAGUCUUAUUGCCUAGUUUUUCUGCUUCUAGAUAUGUGGACUUUCCUUUCAUGAAUUCAUGUUACAUUGAGGUUUAAAGGCGGCUUUGAUUUCUACUAGGGAUUGAUAACUACCAAUGCCUCUAUUUAUAUUUCAAAACAAAUAGUUAUUCACUUACUUCACUGCCUGAUAGGUUAUGUGUUCAUUAUAAAUCAUUAGUGACCAUUAAAAAUUGCAGUUCUUUUCAUUCCCUAAGACUCUGCUUGAACUUCACAAAUCAUAUGACAAGCUCUGUCAACACCUUCAAAGAGAAGCACCAACACCACUCUGAUGAUGUCAAUAAGAAUAAGCAGAAUAACUGGACCAGGACUGGAUGGAGCUUGACUCUACAGGCUGGACAGGAAGUGGAGCAACUUGUGACUAGCAGAGACUACUUCACUGAAGUGGGCAGAACCAAGGGAGCUGACCCAGCAAUCAACAGUGACCACCUCCAGGAGGCUGGUAGUUGUUGAACAAGUAAAUUCUUCUUUUGAAACUUGUAUUAUGAUCAAGUGAGACUAAGACUGAAAAGAUGUCAAUUCAGAGGGAACAAAACAAACAGAUAGGAAUUCACCCCAGUGAGGUGAAGUUGGGUCUUGCCAUAAGACCUCCAAACCAACCUACAAUCCAUUAAAUAUACGAUUUUGCUUAAGGAAGUUUUGGCUGGUUUUCCCCAUCUUGUGAUUGAAUGAAUAUUAACUAUAGUACAGAAGGCCUACUUACACUUUUCAGUUUUAUUUUGCGCAGAAGGUAAGUGCUGUAAUGGCAUAUCAUUCAGCUUGAAGCAGGAAAAUAAAAAAUGCUGCUAAAUAUUGAAAACAGAGGAAACUUAAUACAGGGGAUUGGUUCCUCAGGUCAUGAAAGAGCUGAAAGACAAACAGAGAGGGAUGGUGAGACAGCUUGAUGAUUAGCAGCAGGGGGCCUGGAGGAGAAGGGUUACUGAAGCCCAACGGCCAGCAUUACCUGGAGGAAAGUGAAACCACUGAGAAUGAGAGCCAUGGAAGAGACUCAGACAAUGAGACAGCCAUUGCCUGAAUCAGAGAGGAGGGUAGAUAUACCCUGGCUUUUCCCCCUUUAUGCUCCCUCUGAUCUCUUGUCAGUACCUCUCCUUCACCAAACCCAAGUGGAAAUCAGCGGACACAGAGCCUGGGAAGCACAGCCUGCAGGGACUGCUCCUCCCCGAGCCCCGCAUCCCGCAUCCGGUGAUACUCAGCGAAGCGAGAAUGCAUCUGAAUGCAAAUGAGGGCCAGCACCAACAAUAUUUGCAAAUCAGCACGUACCUUAUCUCAAAGUGUCAAAUGCUUCUAACCAGAAGUCUGUGCUCCCCACUACCAUUCUUUUCCUCACUUCUCCCUCCCAAACCAUAAGGAAUAGAGAAAAUGGAUACUAUCUCGUUAAAAGUAUUCCAAGUAAUUCAGAUUAUGUUUUUGUUGCUCUUCCUGCUCUCACCUCCCACCCCCUUACCUGGAGGCACUAUUCUACUUCAUGUCAAAAUUCAAAAUUUGAGCAAUGGUGUGCUUAAAUGCUGAUAUCCUUGACGGUUUUUCCUUCUUUUCUACUUUAAAAUAGGAGAAAACAAAAACCUUAACAAAGAACAAAUCGAAGGAAAUGGUUUUCUACAUUAGGGAUCCCAAGACCACAGAACCAAUACUACUGCUUAAUUAUAUCAAAGUGUUAUACCAGAGUUUGUAACAGAGGAAACAAAAUGUAAGGAAAACGUCAUGACUUUAUGUAGCACUUCAAAACAAACAUAUUGUAAAGUGUGGUUUUAAGAUAUAAAUUGAUUUGUACCUUUCAGGAGGGAAAAAAAAGACACUCCCUGACCUCCCAAGUACGUAACUAGAAACCUUGGCACCAUCUAUAAUGAUUUGGCCCCAAUCCUAUCUGUAAUAGGAAAACUAGAGGCACCAGAACCUGGGUCUGAAACUAGGGGAUAAUUAGUUCCAUCCAUUAGUGAACAUUUUAUGAGUUCAGUAAAUGAGGAGUGUCUGGUUGAGUGCUUAGGAGGAAAAGGGGAAUUUGGCACCAUAAAGUCAUAAUAUACUAUUUAUUAGGAACUUUCUCAGGAAUCUAAAGGUCACCUGCCUCCCAGUCCCAAAGAAAUACAACCCUGCAGAAACUUCCCUGGCCAUUUACAACCUGCCUGGCUAAGCCUUCCCCCGGGGCCUGAAGGACUGACCUAUCUGUGCUCAGGCAGACACACUAUCCUGAGGCCUGCUCUAACUCCUCAUAUCCAGCCUCCUCUGUCCUAUACGGGCUACGAGGCUAACAUACUGCCCAUGCAUGCACCCAAGCUGCAGUUGUCAGACUGAGCCCCUGUUCCCUGUUCCAGGAGGUGGUAUUUGGGUAGAUAAUUAAAAAGUGAAUAAUGAGGUUCUUCACAUAACCAUGAGAAAGUCACCUCCAUGAGAAUUCAGAAACCUAAAGUCCAGUGUGAUGAGAUAUGAUCACAAAUGGGGUGGGAUUCAGCUAUUAUGUGGUUCUGACAAAUCUUUUCAAUAACGCCUUUUCUAUCAACUUGGAAAUAGUUCUCUAAGAUGCCCAAUUCUGAUGUCAGCUAGUCUUCAGGGAAUGCAAGCGAUUUCACAGUGCACCAAGGACCACCUAGUGGGCAGCUAAAACUAUCCUGAAGAUCCUUAUUUAGUUACUCAUUUAUUCCUUUGACAUUGCCUUUCCUUCCUUUCCAUGUAUUUAUCCAUCUGUCUAUUCAUUCAUCUAUUCCUUUGGCAUUGCCUUUCUUUCCUCUCCACCUUUAUAUCAUAACAGGUUUGAACCACAGAUGAACAAAAUGAAAAAGUAUUUUCCAGAUUAACAAAGUUCUCUCCCCAUAGGAUGUUAUCUUCCACGGGGUGUUUGGUGCUUUUGAAUCAUGAUAAAAUUCUCUUGCCAAUUGAAAAGUUACUUAUAACCUAAUCACUUGUCU